This 1254-nucleotide long non-coding RNA is filed under the name Oryctolagus cuniculus (rabbit). RNAcentral's name for it is "lncRNA (ENSOCUG00000039493.1)". Lineage: Eukaryota; Metazoa; Chordata; Mammalia; Lagomorpha; Leporidae. The record is from RNAcentral.
AUGUGUGUAUGGGGGACCCCAUGCAUACAGCACAGGAACAAGUGUGUGUGUAUGUUUGUGUGUGUGUGUGUGUACGGGGAGGUCCCCAUGCACACAGCACAGGUACAGUGUGUGUGCAUGUAUGUGUGUGUGUGUGUGUGUGUACGGGUGGCCCCCAAGCACACAGCCCAGGUACAAGUGUGUGUGUGUGUGUUUGUGUGUGUGUGUGUGUGUACAGGUGGCCCCCAUGCACACAGCACAGGCACAAGUGUGUGUGCAUGUAUGUUUGUGUGUGUGUGUGUGUGUGUGUGUACAGGGAAGUCCUCAUGCACACAGCACAGGUACAAGCGUGUGUGCAUGUAUGUGUGUGUGUGUAUAUGGGUGGCCCCCAUGCACACAGCCCAGGUACAAGCGUGUAUAUGUGUGUGUGUGUACGGGUGGCCCCCAUGUACACAGCACAGGCACAAGCAUUUGUGUGUGUGUGUGUGUGUACAGGGGGUCCCCAUGCACACAGCCCAGGCACAAGUGUGUGUGUGUGUGUGUGAGUACAGGGAGGCCCCCAUGCACACUGCACAGGCACAAGCGUGUGUGCAUGUGUGUGUGUGUGUGUGUACGGGUGGCCCCCAUGCACACAGCACAGGUACAAGCGUGUGUGCAUGUAUGUGUGUGUGUGUGGACACCAACAGGUCCACCUGUGAAAGAGGGAAAUGGGGCUGGGAGGCCCGGCUGGAGGACCAGGGGUGGGGGACUUCCUACACGAUGGCUGCCUGGCAGCUCCUGACUCAGGAUGGGCCCCGAGGACUCAUGGGAACACUACGGGGCGAGCGGCAGAUUCAGAAGAGGGGCCCGUGGGUCCCAAAGACGCCGUCCCCGUGCCCAGCACCAGCCUCCCCUGGAGCCGCACCGUGUGCCUGUGUGCAUCGCCCAGGCAGCCUCCAUCCGAGGAAAAGACACCUCCCCCUGCUGCAAUGUCACGUGCUGCCUUCCAAGGAGAUGUGGGGUCUCUGGGUGUCAGGGGGAGGCCUGGAGCCCAAGCCCACCCCAGACAGCCCUCACUGUUCACUGCAGCCCCGGGACAGGCCAGGAAGCUGGGGUAUGGGAGUUGCUGUUGAUGGGGGCCCAGGAAGCAGUGUGGAAGGAGGCCUGGUGGAGGCCUGGCGCCACCCACACCCUGCCCAGGCCCAUCCUCCCAGGAAUGCAUGGGGGCAGCCAGAAGGGACAGGCCCCAUCCUGCCGGGCUCCCUGCCACCUGGGACCGGCCGCCAAGCUGCCUGA